CGUGUAGGUGGCUAUAAAAGUUGGAUGUGAAAUCCCUCGGCUCAACCGAGGAAUAGCAUUCAAAACUUUAUGACUAGAGUGUGGGAGAGGAAAGCGGAAUUUCUGGUGUAGCGGUGAAAUGCGUAGAUAUCAGAAAGAACACCUGUGGCGAAAGCGGCUUUCUGGACCAACACUGACACUGAGGCGCGAAAGCUAGGGGAGCGAACAGGAUUAGAUACCCUGGUAGUCC
RNAcentral lists this ribosomal RNA (229 nucleotides) under uncultured bacterium. RNAcentral's name for it is "partial 16S ribosomal RNA". It matches the Rfam family "Bacterial small subunit ribosomal RNA", at positions 568 to 796 of the family's 1533-position model. The record is from RNAcentral.